RNAcentral lists this ribosomal RNA (463 nucleotides) under uncultured bacterium. RNAcentral describes it as "bacterial SSU rRNA". It matches the Rfam family "Bacterial small subunit ribosomal RNA", at positions 34 to 507 of the family's 1533-position model. The record is from RNAcentral.
CGCUGGCGGCGCGCCUAACACAUGCAAGUCGAACGAGAGAGAGGAAGCCUUUGCUUCCUCAAUCGAGUGGCGAACGGGUGAGUAACGCGUGAGGAACCUGCCUCAAAAGAGGGGGACAACAGUUGGAAACGACUGCUAAUACCGCAUAAGCCCACGGGUCGGCAUCGACCAGAGGGAAAAGGAGCAAUCCGCUUUGAGAUGGCCUCGCGUCCGAUUAGCUAGUUGGUGAGGUAAUGGCCCACCAAGGCGACGAUCGGUAGCCGGACUGAGAGGUUGAACGGCCACAUUGGGACUGAGACACGGCCCAGACUCCUACGGGAGGCAGCAGUGGGGAAUAUUGCACAAUGGGGGAAACCCUGAUGCAGCGACGCCGCGUGGAGGAAGAAGGUCUUCGGAUUGUAAACUCCUGUUGUUGAGGAAGAUAAUGACGGUACUCAACAAGGAAGUGACGGCUAACUACGUG